AUGGAGGAUCUAGUAGUUGAAGGGACCGAUGGGGCAUCGAAGGCGGUGCUGAUAGAGACGCAGUCUGGGGGCGGUUUCGCGGGAAGUAGAGAGGCGGGGGCUGGACAGGAGAAGGAGGCGGUCGAUGGGGAGGAAGUGGGAAGUAAGGAGAGGGAGAGGGAGGAAGAUCGGGAGGAGGAAGAUGAUGAGGAGUUCGGCCAUCUGGGUCCAGAUCCAAACCUGGAAGAUGCGUUCAAAGGCAUGAACUUGCAUGGGGAGGAAGAAGAAGACCUAGACCUGUCUGGAGAGGUGGAUGAUCUGAUUAGGGAGGUGCGCUGGUUGGCUCUGUUUAGGGUUCACACGAUGAGACCGUUUAGCCAUGCGGCGUUGCUAAAUUCGAUGAGGAACGCGUGGACAUGUGCGCAAGGGGUCACGUUUAAUAUCAAGGGGCCGAAUCUGUUCUUGGCUCAAUGCCAUUGUCUUGGAGACUGGAAGAGGGUAAUGGAGGGUGGUCCAUGGUAGUUUCAAAGGGAUUCAGUGAUUCUUGUUGAAUAUGAUGGCUUCACCGAUGUGGCGGAGUAUGCACUGGACAUGUAUCCUCAAUGGGCGCGUAUUAAAGGCCUCCUGGACGGCCUCACUGUUGGGGAACGUAGUAAUUUCAAAAUUUUCCUACGUACACGCAAGAUCAUGGUGAUGCAUAGCAACGAGAGAGGAGAGUGUUGUCCAUGUACCCUCGUAGACCGAAAGCGGAAGCGUUAG
Molecule: ribosomal RNA, 738 nt
Filed under: Triticum aestivum (bread wheat)
Lineage: Eukaryota; Viridiplantae; Streptophyta; Magnoliopsida; Poales; Poaceae
Description: partial small subunit ribosomal RNA
Source: RNAcentral